UAGUUGAUGAGUUUGAUCCUGGCUCAGGAUGAACGCUAGUAGUAUGCUUUACACAUGCAAGUUGAACGAAAUUCGUAGCGUACGGGUGAGUAUUUACAAAAUUUUACCUUUUUAGUAUGAGAUAAAAUACAUUCAUUUUAAUGAAAAAAAAAUCUGUUGAUUUUGUAUUAAUAUCAUAUAAUUUAUUAAAAGAAAAAAAAAAUUUUUCGCUAAAUAGAUAAAUUUGUUUAAGAUUAGGUAGUUGGUUAAGAAAAAGCUAACCAAGCCUUCGAUCUUUAGUUGGUCUUAGAGGAUGAUCAGCCACACUGGAACUGAAACAAGGUCCAGGCCUAUUUUGGCCAGCAGUGAGGAAUAUUGGACAAUGAACGAAAGUUUGAUCCAGCAAUACUACAUGAAUGAUGACGGCUGAUUUGGUUGUAAAGUUCUUUCAUCUAAAAUUAUAAUGAUAUUUUUGAAAAAGAAGUCCCGGCAAAUCUCGUGCCAGCAGCCGCGGUAAUACGGGAGGGGCAAGCGUUAUCCGAAAUGACUGGGCGUAAAGGGUUCGUAGACUGUAUUAUAAGUUAUUUGAUAAAAUUUAAAAAUAUUUUUAAGAAAACAAAUAAAACUGUUAUACUAUAGAGUUUUAAACAGAAGAGUGGUAUUUUAUAAGGAGAGAUAAAAUUCAAAGAAAAAUAAAGGAAUAUCUAUAGCGAAGGCAACUCUUUAGUAAAAACUGACGUUGAGGGACGAAAGUAUAGGGAGCAAACAGGAUUAGAUACCCUGGUAGUCUAUACUGUAAACACUGAAUGCUAAAAUUUUAAACUAAAAAUUUAGAUUUUUUAAGCUAACGCAAUAAGCAUUCCGCCUGAGGAGUACGAUCGCAAGAUUGGAACUCAAAGGAAUUGACGGGGGCCUACUACAAGUGGUGGAGCAUGUGGUUUAAUGCGAUAUUACGCGCGAAACCUUACCAACCCUUGACAUUUUUAUGAUUGCACUAUUAAUAUAUAAGUUAAUUUAUUGCAAUUUUAAAAACAGGUGUUGCACGACUGUCGUCAGCUCGUGUCGUGAGAUGUUUGGUUAAUUCCUUUAACGAGCGUAACUCUUGUCUUUAAUUUAUUAUACUUAAAAUUUAAUUAUUUAAAGUAAGUUUUAAAGAUACUGCCAACUAUAUGUUGGAGAAAGGUAAGAAUCAUGUCAAGUCACUGUGGCCCUUAUGGGUUGGGCUACACAUGUGCUACAAUGGAAAUAACAAUAAGUAAUAUUAAAAACUAAUUAAUCUUUAAAAAUUUUCUUAGUUCGGAUUGUAAGCUGUAACUCGCUUACAUAAAGUUGGAAUCACUAGUAAUCGCAAAUCAGAACGUUGCGGUGAAUAGUAAAUUGGCCUUGUACACACCGCCCGUCACAUGCAGGAAGUUGAUUUUUUUUGAAAAAUUAUUUAAAUAUUUUUAUGUAGAAUAAUUAAAAUUAAAAUAUUUUAUUAAAAAAUCAAUAACUUGGAUGAAGUCGUAACAAGGUAGCUGUACGGGAACGUGUAGCUGGAAUUUAAAAUAA
Molecule: ribosomal RNA, 1530 nt
Filed under: Stephanopyxis turris
Lineage: Eukaryota; Bacillariophyta; Melosirophyceae; Stephanopyxales; Stephanopyxidaceae
Description: small subunit ribosomal RNA
Rfam family: Bacterial small subunit ribosomal RNA
Source: RNAcentral